Pelobates cultripes (western spadefoot toad) is the source of this 229-nucleotide non-coding RNA. NCBI's taxonomy places the organism in Eukaryota, Metazoa, Chordata, Amphibia, Anura, Pelobatidae. The record is from the annotation of a GenBank genome assembly.
AUACACUCUGGUACCCUCCUGCUCUUUUACACUCACCCUGCCCCAGUUACCCCUUUAUUCACCCUGCCACCCCCUGAAGGCAAUAAUUAUACACACGGUUAUAAAACAUAGCUUCGCCAUAAACUCAGUGCCAAAGGCCACAGGCAGUACACAAACAUACACAUGCUCAGAGAAACAUACAUACAUACACAAGGAUCCUCACUGCCAGACACACACAGGUAGACAAUGC